This 2899-nucleotide ribosomal RNA is filed under the name Klebsiella pneumoniae. Its description in RNAcentral is "23S ribosomal RNA". It matches the Rfam family "Bacterial large subunit ribosomal RNA". Lineage: Bacteria; Pseudomonadati; Pseudomonadota; Gammaproteobacteria; Enterobacterales; Enterobacteriaceae. The record is from RNAcentral.
UUAAGCGACUAAGCGUACACGGUGGAUGCCCUGGCAGUCAGAGGCGAUGAAGGACGUGCUAAUCUGCGAAAAGCGUCGGUAAGGUGAUAUGAACCGUUAUAGCCGGCGAUGUCCGAAUGGGGAAACCCAGUGCAAUUCGUUGCACUAUCGUUAACUGAAUACAUAGGUUAACGAGGCGAACCGGGGGAACUGAAACAUCUAAGUACCCCGAGGAAAAGAAAUCAACCGAGAUUCCCCCAGUAGCGGCGAGCGAACGGGGAGCAGCCCAGAGUCUGAAUCAGCUUGUGUGUUAGUGGAACGGUCUGGAAAGUCCGACGGUACAGGGUGAUAGUCCCGUACACCAAAAUGCACAGGUUGUGAACUCGAAGAGUAGGGCGGGACACGUGGUAUCCUGUCUGAAUAUGGGGGGACCAUCCUCCAAGGCUAAAUACUCCUGACUGACCGAUAGUGAACCAGUACCGUGAGGGAAAGGCGAAAAGAACCCCGGCGAGGGGAGUGAAAAAGAACCUGAAACCGUGUACGUACAAGCAGUGGGAGCACCUUCGGGUGUGACUGCGUACCUUUUGUAUAAUGGGUCAGCGACUUAUAUUCUGUAGCAAGGUUAACCGUAUAGGGGAGCCGCAGGGAAACCGAGUCUUAACUGGGCGUUAAGUUGCAGGGUAUAGACCCGAAACCCGGUGAUCUAGCCAUGGGCAGGUUGAAGGUUGGGUAACACUAACUGGAGGACCGAACCGACUAAUGUUGAAAAAUUAGCGGAUGACUUGUGGCUGGGGGUGAAAGGCCAAUCAAACCGGGAGAUAGCUGGUUCUCCCCGAAAGCUAUUUAGGUAGCGCCUCGUGAACUCAUCUUCGGGGGUAGAGCACUGUUUCGGCUAGGGGGUCAUCCCGACUUACCAACCCGAUGCAAACUACGAAUACCGAAGAAUGUUAUCACGGGAGACACACGGCGGGUGCUAACGUCCGUCGUGAAGAGGGAAACAACCCAGACCGCCAGCUAAGGUCCCAAAGUCAUGGUUAAGUGGGAAACGAUGUGGGAAGGCACAGACAGCCAGGAUGUUGGCUUAGAAGCAGCCAUCAUUUAAAGAAAGCGUAAUAGCUCACUGGUCGAGUCGGCCUGCGCGGAAGAUGUAACGGGGCUAAACCAUGCACCGAAGCUGCGGCAGCGACACUAUGUGUUGUUGGGUAGGGGAGCGUUCUGUAAGCCUGCGAAGGUGUGCUGUGAGGCAUGCUGGAGGUAUCAGAAGUGCGAAUGCUGACAUAAGUAACGAUAAAGCGGGUGAAAAGCCCGCUCGCCGGAAGACCAAGGGUUCCUGUCCAACGUUAAUCGGGGCAGGGUGAGUCGACCCCUAAGGCGAGGCCGAAAGGCGUAGUCGAUGGGAAACAGGUUAAUAUUCCUGUACUUGGUGUUACUGCGAAGGGGGGACGGAGAAGGCUAUGUUAGCCGGGCGACGGUUGUCCCGGUUUAAGCAUGUAGGCUGAUUGUCCAGGCAAAUCCGGAUAAUCAAGGCUGAGGUGUGAUGACGAGGCACUACGGUGCUGAAGUAACAAAUGCCCUGCUUCCAGGAAAAGCCUCUAAGCAUCAGGUAACAUCAAAUCGUACCCCAAACCGACACAGGUGGUCAGGUAGAGAAUACCAAGGCGCUUGAGAGAACUCGGGUGAAGGAACUAGGCAAAAUGGUGCCGUAACUUCGGGAGAAGGCACGCUGGUGUGUAGGUGAAGUCCCUGCGGAUGGAGCUGAGACCAGUCGAAGAUACCAGCUGGCUGCAACUGUUUAUUAAAAACACAGCACUGUGCAAACACGAAAGUGGACGUAUACGGUGUGACGCCUGCCCGGUGCCGGAAGGUUAAUUGAUGGGGUUAUCCGUAAGGAGAAGCUCUUGAUCGAAGCCCCGGUAAACGGCGGCCGUAACUAUAACGGUCCUAAGGUAGCGAAAUUCCUUGUCGGGUAAGUUCCGACCUGCACGAAUGGCGUAAUGAUGGCCAGGCUGUCUCCACCCGAGACUCAGUGAAAUUGAACUCGCUGUGAAGAUGCAGUGUACCCGCGGCAAGACGGAAAGACCCCGUGAACCUUUACUAUAGCUUGACACUGAACAUUGAGCCUUGAUGUGUAGGAUAGGUGGGAGGCUUUGAAGCGUGGACGCCAGUCUGCGUGGAGCCAACCUUGAAAUACCACCCUUUAAUGUUUGAUGUUCUAACGUUGGCCCCUUACCGGGGUUGCGGACAGUGUCUGGUGGGUAGUUUGACUGGGGCGGUCUCCUCCCAAAGCGUAACGGAGGAGCACGAAGGUUAGCUAAUCCUGGUCGGACAUCAGGAGGUUAGUGCAAUGGCAUAAGCUAGCUUGACUGCGAGCGUGACGGCGCGAGCAGGUGCGAAAGCAGGUCAUAGUGAUCCGGUGGUUCUGAAUGGAAGGGCCAUCGCUCAACGGAUAAAAGGUACUCCGGGGAUAACAGGCUGAUACCGCCCAAGAGUUCAUAUCGACGGCGGUGUUUGGCACCUCGAUGUCGGCUCAUCACAUCCUGGGGCUGAAGUAGGUCCCAAGGGUAUGGCUGUUCGCCAUUUAAAGUGGUACGCGAGCUGGGUUUAGAACGUCGUGAGACAGUUCGGUCCCUAUCUGCCGUGGGCGCUGGAGAAUUGAGGGGGGCUGCUCCUAGUACGAGAGGACCGGAGUGGACGCAUCACUGGUGUUCGGGUUGUCAUGCCAAUGGCACUGCCCGGUAGCUAAAUGCGGAAGAGAUAAGUGCUGAAAGCAUCUAAGCACGAAACUUGCCCCGAGAUGAGUUCUCCCUGAGACUUUAAGUCUCCUGAAGGAACGUUAAAGACGAUGACGUUGAUAGGCCGGGUGUGUAAGCGCAGCGAUGCGUUGAGCUAACCGGUACUAAUGAACCGUGAGGCUUAACCU